CCUACGGGAGGCAGCAGUGAGGAAUAUUGGUCAAUGGACGAGAGUCUGAACCAGCCAAGUAGCGUGAAGGAUGACUGCCCUAUGGGUUGUAAACUUCUUUUAUAUGGGAAUAAAAUGUUCCACGUUUGGGAUUUUGUAUGUACCAUAUGAAUAAGGAUCGGCUACCUCCGUGCCAGCAGCCGCGGUAAUACGGAGGAUCCGAGCGUUAUCCGGAUUUAUUGGGUUUAAAGGGAGCGUAGGUGGAUUGUUAAGUCAGUUGUGAAAGUUUGCGGCGCAACCGUAAAAUUGCAGUUGAAACUGGCAGUCUUGAGUACAGUAGAGGUGGGCGGAAUUCGUGGUGUAGCGGUGAAAUGCUUAGAUAGCACGAAGAACUCCGAUUGCGAAGGCAGUUCACUGGACUGCAACUGACACUGAGGCUCGAAAGUGUGGGUAUCAAACAGGAUUAGAUACCCGUGUAGUC
Molecule: ribosomal RNA, 460 nt
Filed under: uncultured bacterium
Lineage: Bacteria
Description: partial 16S ribosomal RNA
Rfam family: Bacterial small subunit ribosomal RNA
Source: RNAcentral